This 524-nucleotide ribosomal RNA is filed under the name uncultured Alphaproteobacteria bacterium. RNAcentral describes it as "bacterial SSU rRNA". It matches the Rfam family "Bacterial small subunit ribosomal RNA", at positions 38 to 606 of the family's 1533-position model. Lineage: Bacteria; Pseudomonadati; Pseudomonadota; Alphaproteobacteria. The record is from RNAcentral.
GGCGGCAGGCCUCAAACAUGCAAGUCUAGGGGGUGUAGCAAUACAUCACCGGCGGACGGGUGCGUAACACGUGGGAAUAUACCUUUUGGUUCGGAACAACUGAGGGAAACUUCAGCUAAUACCGAAUGUGCCCUAACGGGGAAAGAUUUAUCGCCAAAGGAUUAGCCCGCGUAGGAUUAGCUAGUUGGUGAGGUAAUGGCUCACCAAGGCUCCGAUCCUUAGCUGUUCUGAGAGGAAGAUCAGCCACACUGGGACUGAGACACGGCCCAGACUCCUACGGGAGGCAGCAGUUGGGAAUCUUGGACAAUGGGGGAAACCCUGAUCCAGCCAUGCCGCGUGAGUGAUGAAGGCCUUCGGGUUGUAAAACUCUUUCGACGGGGACGAUAAUGACGGUACCCGUAGAAGAAGCUCCGGCUAACUUCGUGCCAGCAGCCGCGGUAAUACGAAGGGGGCUAGCGUUGUUCGGAAUUACUGGGCGUAAAGCGCGCGCAGGCGGUUUUCCAAGUCAGUGGUGAAAGCCCGGA